GCUUGGGGCAGUAUAAAAACUCAGAGAAAUCAGUGUGUAGGAGACACAGAAAUCAGUGUCACUCAGUGACAGAAGCAACAAUAAUUGUGAAAAAUACUUCAGCAGUUAUGGACUCAUCUGUCAUUCAAAGGAAAAAAGUAGCUGUCAUUGGUGGUGGCUUGUGUUUACAGGUAUGAUUAAAGUGAUCAGAGCAAAAAGGCACCAUUUCAGUGACAGCUAAAGCUACUCAAGACAUCAUUUUUUGACUGAAGCCAAGAGCCUUGGUUGGCUCAUUACAAGCAUGCUUUCUUGCAAAGAGGAAUUUCCAGAUUGAUGUAUAUGAAGCUAGGGAAGAUAGUCGAGUGGCUACCUUCACACGUGGAAGAAGCAUUAACUUAGCCCUUUCUCAUAGAGGACGACAAGCCUUGAAAGCUGUUGGCCUGGAAGAUCAGAUUGUAUCCCAAGGUAUUCCCAUGAGAGCAAGAAUGAUCCACUCUCUUUCAGGAAAAAAGUCUGCAAUUCCCUAUGGGACAAAUUCUCAGUAUAUUCUUUCUGUAAGCAGAGAAAAUCUAAACAAGGAUCUAUUGACUGCUGCUGAGAAAUACCCCAAUGUGAAAAUGCACUUUAACCACAGGCUGUUGAAAUGUAAUCCAGAGGAAGGAAUGAUCACAGUGCUUGGAUCUGACAAAGUUCCCAAAGAUGUCACUUGUGACCUCAUUGUAGGAUGUGAUGGAGCCUAUUCAACUGUCAGAUCUCACCUGAUGAAGAAACCUCGCU
Molecule: small RNA, 756 nt
Filed under: Pan troglodytes (chimpanzee)
Lineage: Eukaryota; Metazoa; Chordata; Mammalia; Primates; Hominidae
Description: processed transcript
Source: RNAcentral